CCAGCAGUGCAAUAUGAGUCCUAAGCAUCCCAGAAACGACACAGAAAGUCAUAAAGUCAAACAUAACUUUUAAAAACACAAGUAUAGGCUCAUAAGCCCCUGAUGGUAAAAGAAACUACAUUUCCGCAAAAUGACGUCACUUCCGGUUUCGGGCAGAUCAUGGCGGACAUGCGAUAGUUCCGCUGAUGGAGUAGGAAGUGUUACGAACAGCUGAUUGGAUCGGCAAAGCGUGUUUCUGGAAUAUUAUGUUUUUGUUGCUGCAAGCGCUUUUUAUGCAGUUUUUGCAAAGCUAUAUGUGGAAGGAAACCGUGACCUAGGACAAGCUGAUGGCAUAAAAUAUUUGUGGAGGGGAAUUGGAAGCAGGAAAUCGCUGCACGUCAGCAGGUGAAAAGAAAAGAGAGGGAGGAAGUUAAGUUGGACGUGUGUGUGUGUGUCACAGAGAUCACACAGCUGAGGCAUGUGGAGGUGUACAGCACAUAGGUGUUUUGACUGACAGCUUCUAGCUGUAAUCACGUGUAUGAUUGUUUCCACAUGUGAAACGGAUGUAAAAAUGAUUGGAUGAAAAAUCCCCCCGUGGCCGGCAGUCUGAAUAAAGGCUGUGAAGUCGUGUCAACAUGGUUUCAGUUAUCCUGCAGGAAAGUAAGACUUUAACUUUUUAUUUGAUACAUCAAAGCGUGAAGGUAUGCAAGAGGGACUACUUUUACACGCAUGUAGACUAUUGUACUGAUGUUUCAAGUAUAUUUUUUUUGUCUCUAACCACAAGAUCAGAUGUUUUCUGAUAGUGAGUGAGGGUUUUUUUCCAGAGAGAGCAAAUGUUUUUAAUAUAUUGAUCAUUUUUGAGCCAUUUUAGUUCACAAUGGAGAGAUCUGAUGAAACUAAAAUAAUAAUUUUAGUCAAUUUUAGUCCAUAGAAUAGGCUGGAAAAUCAUGGGGAGACCUUUGCCUGUUCACAUUUCUCUCUGGUGUGAUAUCACACCCCCAUUGUGCCAAUGAGUUUAAUCAAAGGAUGAAAACAAACAUUUUGUACCUGAAAAACUAUUGAGUAUGGAUGCAGUCAUUUUGUAAAUGAUUCUGAAAAAAAAAAAACCCUUUAAAAAUACAAGAUAAAUAAUUGGUUCUCUUAUAUUUUUUUUUAUUUUUAACAUACAGAAUAAUUAGCUAGUUCAGUUACAGAGCCAAUGCAUAACACCACCCACCUCAAAGUGCUUUAUAUCAUCAGCUAGGCCAUACAAUACCAGAGAGAAGUCCAAAAAUCACUCCCAUUUAAUAGGAAGAACCAUUCAGCAGAACCAAGCUCGUAGGUUAAAGAAAAAACAUAAAAGAGGAAGAACAAUCAACAAAACACAGACUACAGGAGAGAGAGGGCAUUGUUAAUGACGUUCAGCAGUGGCACAUAGACACGUGGAGAAGAAAUGCUGUGUCCAUCAUGGGAAGGCCUCCAACAGACUGAUGUAAGAUGCAUAACUAAGUGAUGUUUCAAAAAGGAACACUUUAAGGCUAACCUUAAAAAUACAGGGGACGUCUGUCUCCUGAAUCCAAAGUGUAAAUGGUUCUACAAAGGAACCUGAGACUUGAAGGCUCUGCCUCGCAUUCUACUUUUAGAGGCUCUAGGAACGACAAGCAAGCCUGUAGUCGUUGAUCAAAGUGCUCUACUGGGAUAAUAUGGCACAGUGAGAUCUGUAAGUUAUCAUGGCACAUGAUAAUUCAAAACUUUGUAUCUCAGGAGAAAGAUUUUAACAUUAGAACCACCUGUGUAAUACUGUGUAGCUGACCUACCAUAGAUGAACACAAGACUUUGACAGUGAAUUCUUUCAGGAGGUUGGAGCGUUCAUGGAUUGUUGUCAGCAGUUUGUGCCGUUAACACAAGGGACACUCCACAGUCACAGUAACAAUAAAUGCCAGAACCAUAGACUGCAUAUAAAACAUGAAUGUAGCUUUGGCGUUUGGAAAGUGAAGCCAGUAAUUCAGCUUUCAGUAUUCCUGAUGGCCGUGAGGAGGGAACUCAUUUGGUUUCGAAAAUAAUUCUUCUUCUAUGGAAGUCUGGAAAACAAAGACUUUGAUCCACAACCUCAGGAAACACUUUCCUGAUGAAUUCGUGGCCAGAGUCACUAGUUUCAAGUCUUAUUUAAUACAAUGUGACUUUCAUUGUAUAAAUUAUGUUCUCCUUUGUGUAACUGACAACUUGCAAGCCUUUGAGCGUGUGCCUCAAUUAAACAGUGAAAUCCACACUCACUUGUCACAUCCCAGAUUCAACAUGUCUAGACUGUCACGGCAAAAGUGCACAGCUUGAGGCUUCAUAACAAGUUUUUGCAAACUAAUGGAUGGACUCACAACAGUGACAGUCUGUGGCAUAAUGUUGCUUUCUAAAGAUAUGACCGGUGUUUUCUUUUGGCUUUUUUUUAUAUAUAUAUAUUUUUCUCAUUUCUCAUUUUUUUCUGAAUUACAAUAUAUGAGAUUAUUUUCUUGUUCAUCCCAUAAGAGCACUCAGUUUCAUAACAAGAAACCGAGGGUUCUUCAUGUCUGGUUCAGACAUGAAAUUAAUCAAAACAUUGGUCCAACUCAUGCAUUUGCCACAACAAAGAAGGCAGAUGUUGUAAAUUCUCCUCAGCAUCAACUCCACAUGCCAUCGUCCCUAUUCUUCAUCUCAUUACUUGGCAUAUAUAAUCUCUGGUUGUACUGUGGCUUUUUGGGGCAGGGAGACAGAGUGAACUAUAAAGGGUUUUAUACAAGCUGAGGAGUGGAGUUAAACUGGAAGGCAGUCUGCAUGUUUGUAUGGAAACAAUUCUUUCAUGAGUUGCAAUUCUGUUUGAUUCCAGAUGUAAAAAGCCACAGGGAGAGAAAGAUGCAUAUCAGUCUUGACACCUAAAUCCAGGAUGAUGCUGCACUUGAAGUGCUAUCCUAACCUCACCGAAAAGACUACAUUUAGCAAAAGUAUUCUCUGUGCAUUUCUUUUCCUAAGCAAUAAUGAUUCUGAACAAGCAGGAUAGAAAUUCUUCCAGUUAUAUUAAAGGAUCCACAUACUUUUUUGGGGAAGAAAAGUGAGUUAGGUAACUUUAAACUUUGCAUAUUUGUUGGUGUAAGACAGGCUGGUCUGAGUAUUUCAGAAACUGUUGAUCUGCUAGGAUUUUCCCACACAACCAUCUCUGGGGAUUAAAAAGAGGAACAUAUGCAGUGAGCAGCACUCCUUUGAGUAAAAAUGCCUUGUUGAUGUCAGAGGUCAGAGGAGAAUGGCGAGACUGCUUCAAGAUAAUAGGAAAGCAGAAAUAACUCAAAUAACCACUCAUAUCAACCAAGGUGUGUAGAAAGACAUCUCUGAAUAACACAUUGAAUCCUGUAGCAGAUGGUCUACAACAGCAGAAGACUACAUCAGGUCCCACUCCUGUCAACUAAGACAGCACAGGCUCACCAAAAUUGGAAAUUAGAAGACUGGAAAAACAAUAUGAGCAACAUUCAGAAGGGAAGCACGUUUUCUUUCUGGCUGCUUCUCUGUGGUCUGACCAGAAACUAACUCAUCCUUAUUCUAGAAAGUGAACCACAACAUGUGGCAACAGAGCCCACAAACAUGAGCUCAUUCCUCUUGAGGGGAAACUAGCAACUGAAAAAAAACAGAGAUAGAAAGAGAGAAAGUCCCAGUGUUCCUCUCCACAUCCAUUUGUCUUUGGACUACAUUCCUGCUCCUCUUCCUCAAAUGAAAUGGUUAUCCCUGCAAACAAUGAGAAGACUGAGCUGCAGGAGCAUCUGCAGCAUGUGAAGUGGGACAUGAAACAAAAAUUGGCUCACAAGGUCGAGGUCAACUUCAGCAUCAGCACAUUCUUUGAGCCAAGGCGUUGGAGAGAAAGCAGGCGCGAACUGAAAGUGGCCCAAGUCUCUUCCUAACAUGCUUUUAUUUCCCACAUACUUCGUGAUCAGCAGGCCUCAGUAUGUUAUCAGGUAAUACUGAGACAAACAGCUGCUUACGUGCUGAAAUGUGGAUGUAUUAUUUGAGAAAAGCAUUACACAUGAAUCAGAAGAACAAUACAUUUUGACCAAUAGGCUAACAAUUAAAGUAAACUCAUCAGUAUUAAAAAUACAGCUGGAAAGGUGAACUGUUCCUACUUUAAGAGCAAGUGCAGGCAGAUAUGUUGCAAAAUGUAUUUACCAUCAUAAUUAAAUACAAAAAGAAAGAAUGUGCAGAAAAAAUCUGAACUCUAAACUCACACCUAUGAUAUUAAUUUAAAAAUCAUAGUUGACCUUUGAGUUAUUGUAACAAAAAAAGGAAAAAAAGUCUUUUCUGUGGCUAAGUCCUCAAUUUUCCUUUAUACCUUGUAAUGUUGUCAGUCUCCAUAUGAGUCACGUUGACCACGUGCUGUGUGCUUCAUGCUUUGCUCUGGAAUGUCAGGUUUCAAAUUGCAUGUACCUGAUAUUGCCUUGCCAUGCCAUGCCAGAGAUAUAAGAUUGUGUGUAACUGUAAAAUCAAAUGACUAUUAUUUAUUUGCAAUAAAAUAACAUAAAACACACACCAAAGUACACACAGGACUUUUUAUUAGUAAGUUACAAUGCGGACACAUGCACUGCCAAGGACAUUUAAAAAAAAUAAUACUAUGACAUUUCAUCAUGUUUCAGUUAAACAAGUUAAGAAUCAAGCAGUUAAGUAAGAAAAGAUUUUUUCUGUUUAUAACAAUUAGAACAUGUAUGAUUGAACACAGAAGAAACAUGCACUUUACUGCACUGCAACAUAGAAAAUUAUCCUAAGUGUAGAAAAACAUAUCAUUUUCAUUUGACAAACACUUGAUGAUACAAAUGUGUUUGCAGUGACUGACUCACCCGAGUUUCUUCCAGAAGCCACAGGUUAACAGGUUAAAGGA
Molecule: long non-coding RNA, 4843 nt
Organism: Oreochromis niloticus (Nile tilapia)
Lineage: Eukaryota; Metazoa; Chordata; Actinopteri; Cichliformes; Cichlidae
Exons: 3
Source: RefSeq, a predicted model, not a curated record